ACUAUCUCAUGGUUUUGAUUUGCAUAGCCUAGAACAUUUUUGAGUCUUCCUGUGUCCUACCCAGGUUAUUCAUUUCCAGCUACUGCUCUUCCUUUGCUCAUAGCACACAACACCAGUUGUUAGGUCCUGGAGGAAGUAAAAAUAUGUGUAACUAUGGUCCCUGGCUAUAUGAAUCAGGAUGCUCUGGACAAGAAUUAAAUUAUGAGGAAAAUUUAUUUUAUUUCAUAACAUUAGUACGUGAGUAGGUAAGCCCAGGAGUUUGGUGAUUCAGCAACUCUGAGACCUCUUAAGGGGCCUGAAUUCUUUCCAUCUUUCUUCCUUGCCAUUCUAAUUAGGUCAGCUGUGCUCUCAGACUGCCUGCCUUCCUGCUGCUGCAGUUUCAGGCAUCACACCCAGAGAUAACAUUCAUAAAAGAACAGGAGCAUCUCUUCUGUGUUUUCUUCUAAGGAAUGAAGGAACCAUUUCCCAGAAGUCCUUCAAGAAUCCUCUUCUAGGCCGGGCACAGCGGCUCACACCUAUAAUCUCAACACUUUGGGAGGCCAAGGUUGGGGGAUUGUUUGAGUCCAGGAGUUUAAGACCAGCCUGGAACAUAGCAAGACCCUGUCUCUACAAAAAAUAUAAAAAAUGAGCGGGGCAUGGUGGCUCUCGCCUGUGGUUCCACCUACUAGGGAGGCUGAGGCAGGAGGAUCACUUGAGCCCAGGAAUUUGAGGCUGCAGUGAGCUACGAUCACACCACUGCAUUCUAGCCUUAAGUGACAGAGUGAGACCCCAAAUAAAAAAAAAAAAAACAAAAAACCUCUUAUGACUCAUUGGCUAGAACCACCCACCUCAUGCCAAUCCACUGACACUGAGAAUGGCAUUGUGAUUGGCUUUCAAUAGUAUUUUCCCCCAGAGAUGAGGUCAUCUUCCAUGAAGGUCAGAUAUCUACAGAAAUAAUUGAUGUUAGCAAGGAAGAAGCAGAGAAUGGGUAUUGAUAGACAAUGUCUGCUCUAGGGAUGGGUCAUUCUGCCAACAUUCAGCAGAUCCCCUAUCUACUCCCAAAAUGCCUGGUACCAGCUAAUAGUUAACAUCUUCUGAGAGCAUUACUUAAAGUCUUUACAUAUCUUCACUUAUUUAACCCACAAAUCAACCCUUAAAGGUAGGUUCUGAUGUAGUGGGUUGGUGCAAAAGUAAUUGGAGUUUUGCCAUUUUAAUGCAAUUACUUUUGCACCAAUCUAAUAUAUCCCCAUUUUCUAGGUGGGGAACAUGAGGCACAGAGUGGUUAUGUCUUACCCACAGUCAUUUGCAAGGGAGUGGCAGAGCCUAGAUACAAACCAUGUCAAUCUGCCUCUGAGUCUACGUAGUAUAUCCACUAUACUAAACUGCCCUUCUACCUUACAAAGCAGAACAAGAUCAGGUUCUCACUUUUAAGGAGUCUACAGUCUAGUAUAGGAGCCAGCAAACUUUCUCUGUAAAGGUCUGGAGACUAAAUACUAGGUUUUGCAGCAGUAUGGUCUCUGUUGUAACUACUCAGCUUUUCCACUGUAGCGUAAAAACAGUUGUAGACAAUUCAUAAACAAGUGUGGCUGUGUUCCAAUAAAACUUGAUUUACAAAAAUAGGCAGCUGGCCGGGUUUGUCCCAUGAGUCAGUUUGUGGACCUGCGGUCUAGUGAGUUAGAAUACUGCUUACCAAAUUUUAAUGUGUGUGUGAUUCACGUGGGAUCGGGUUAAAAUGCAAAUUUUGAUUCAAUAGGUCCGGAGUGAGGCCUAGUAAAAGUGUAAGUGCUAUGCUCUAAAAAUGUUGACAGCAUGAUUAUCACACUCCUCUGCUGUUUGAGGGGCAGGGAGCAUUUGGAGAUGCCUUGUUUCAGGAACCCAUUCAGCCAAGUUGUCCUGGCAAGCCGUACCUCCCACAGCCCCCUCCACACCGGCUGUUUGUCCAAUCUAACUUUGCACUGGAGCAAGAUGUGUUUUCCCAGGAUGAGGAAAGGAAGGUUAGCCCACACUGCUGGAUGUGGAAGGGGAUGGGAACCAGGGAAAGAAUGGUAACUGGGGAGGAAGGGAAACCAUGAUACUUUUUUCAAAAAACUCUUCAUAUCUGUCAUUUCUCCUAUUCUUAUGGAACUUCACAAUUGCUUUUUCUUUAUUCCUUUUUUUUUUUCUAUAUCAGCUCAUCAGUCUUUGUGGGUGACUUGGCUACCCCACUAAUCUAAUUGCCUUUUUGAUAGUUAAAUCAAUAUGGACAUCAACUUAAGGCUAUAUGUGAACCUUAAAUGCAUGAUAUUCCCUAUACUUGAUUCCACAAUUGAUAUUCUGUGAGGAAAGUUGGCCAGAUAUUCCCUUCUGUGAAGUCAGAAUAACUACCGACCCUAAGAAUAAACAUUUUGACCAAUUCUUUAUAUGUUGCAAACUAUUCACACAACUAGAAAGUUUAGCCAUUCACAUCUCUUCCCCUGAUUUUAAGUCCCAGAUUCUGAGACUCAGAAAGUUUAGUGACUUGUUGAGCUUUCUGUGGAAAAUCUGUUGUAAAAACAGUUCAGACAUUGGAAAAUAUAAAAUAGCCCCUAGAGAUCCCAAUAAAGCUUCCUCUCCCCAAAUCCCUCUACAAGUUUAUCCUCGAAAAACUUUCUGAAAACUGAUGAGAAAAUACUGAGUAAUUAAUGCUCAAAUGGGAAAGAUGACAUGUAAAAGCAAAAACCUGUUAAUGGCAUCUGUUCAUAUAGUUCCAUGUGCCUUUUUACUUAACUGCACUGAUAGGCAAUGUAAUGAAGAAGUUUCCUUUUAAAACGUAAAAUGUAAUUAAACAGAGUUUAUCUUAAAUUGGCUGGACCCGCACAGCUUGACUGAGACAUACACAGCUGUCUUCAUUUUGAAGCACCUACACUAGUCAAGCUUCUUUCUAACCCGCCCUUAGGGUUUGCCUGUUGGUCUGUCUUCCCUACUGGGCUGUUAAUCCCUUGGAGGCAGAUUGUCUUGUUUCCCAGAGUUUUUCCAGCAUAUACCAUGGCAGACAAUUUUCACCUUAUCUAUUCUAACUCGUAAGCCUCAGCUAGUGCCUCCAUCCUCGGGUGCAUAGCCCAGUGACAGGCAUGUAACAGACUUUGCCUACAAGCAGUUGCUGAUCCAUAAAUGACGUUGGCAACCUUCUUGUGGCAGUGAGUAACAUAUUUCUUUCCUCCUGAUAGGCUUGGAAUCCUCAUCCCCAUCUGGCAAUUUUCUUUCCAUCUUUCCUACACUCACAAUGGAGCCCACACGCCUCACAACCCCCUUGACUAAACCAGAUGACAGCAAGAAUGCCUAGUUCCAAGUGAGCAAGGGUGAAGCCUUAGGCCCUUGUCUCCUCCAGACCUCCUCUCUGCUCUAAGAGUAUACUGGGCAUGGGGUGUGGUCGGGGGGUUGGGGGCGGAGGAGUACUUAACCUCAAACUGAGAAAAAGGGUGUCCUGAGCAAGUUUCAUAGCGUAGCAGCUUCCAUUUGAAAUGUGAAGCUUUGAAGGCCUGUUGCUACAGUAACCAGCUAGCUCCUGACUCCAAUGCCUGUCUAAUCUAAGGUGGAAAUGUCCCAGAAAGAUUAUGAUGUGGGUUCUCAUAAAAAUUUCACUCCCCCCAAAGCCACCCAAAGGAAAGGCAGUGAAAUGGGGAGGAACACACAUUUGCCUGGCAUCGCAAGAGCUGCCUUGUAGUCAUGGGUUCCAGUGAUCUUGGACCGAUCUCUUCACUUCCCUGGACCUCAGUUUCUUCCAUACAAAGAAGUUGAACUGGAUCAUAGAAAAGAUGCUGUCCAGCUUGGUAAUAUCAGAUAGGGAGCAGAAGCUGUCUCUUAGCACAUGGCCAGAUUCCGGAACAACGAUGAUGGUCUCCAUGUUUGUCCUAAAAAUGCAUCUCAUCUCAGUAGAGAUUUUCUUCCACCUCAUUUGGGUCUCAAUUUAAGGAAGGAAGAAAGGAAAGAAACCCGGGGAUUCUCUUCUUGAAAGGAAUAUACUUCACUUUCUCUAGGCUUCUAGGAUAAAAACUUCCUAUCCUUCAUUUUUCCUCUUUAAACCUGCCAAAAUCAAGUUGAGUAAAGAUACCAUACAGAUAUGAAAAAGAAGCCACAUCCUUAAAUUUUCAUGGAGUCCAAGAGCCUGCUCACCGCCAGUUAGCUUUUCCCAGGAUGGUGGUGGCACUGAUCAUCUAGGUUGCACUUUUAUGUUCAUGUCCCAGAGCGUUUCCCAUCAGCCAUCUCAUUUCAUCUUUUCAUCAUUCCUCUGAGGAAAAGACUUCACACAUGUAUAGGACUUUCUAUAUCACAAAGUAUUUCAUAUCCAAUGUCUUAUUUAGAUCUUGACAAUCACUGUUUAAGGUAAUUUGGCAAGUUAUUAAUACUCAUGUCCUCAUUUUACUGAAGAGGAAACUGAAAUGCAGAGAGCUUGUCUUUUGCCCAGGAUCACUCACCCAGUUUAUUGGGAGGCAGCAGCACGGGGAUUAAGAACAUGGGUUAUGCCGACAACCAACCAGGCAGAAUUCCAGCUCUGUCAGUAGUUAGCUGUCUGGCCUUAGGAAAGGGAUUUCACACCUCUGUGGCUUAGUUUCCUUGUCCAUUAAAUGCUCAUAAGAAUAGAGCUUUCCUCACAGAGAUUGGGUGGGCACGGGAGCUAAAUGAGCUCAUACGUUUAAGAACAACCUCUAGCACACAGUGCAUAAUAAAUGUCAUUAUUAUUAGCAAAGCCAGGACCUGGGUCUUCCAGCUUCUAGCUCAGUGGCAUUUCUGCUGCCCCACACCAGGACUAUCCUUCGUAUACAGGUAUGAACCUAAAGCCUUCAGUGUUUCAAUGAAAAGUUCACCCAAGGUCUUUCUGUUCAGUAAGUCUAGAGCUAAGGGCUCCUGGCACUCUGUUCAGUCCUUUCGCUGGUAAACCACGCUGCCCUCCGUUGCUCUGGGCAGAAUGUCAAACCUUCUUAUGUUUUUAAAAUUUAUAAAUCAAGCACUCUUAUUUAAUAUUACUGACAGCCCGAAGGCAGACGCUCCCACUCUCCUGGGGAAGAGGGUCUUCUAAUCUGCCAUCUUAAGGAGGUAAAAGGGCUUGAUUGGGUAACUCAUUGCAAUGGGCACGUAUUUAUUACUGAGUCAAAAGUCUUCUCUUGCAGCUGGGUGUUGAGGGUGAUUGCCCCUCUCUCUCCUUGUAAGAUUAUGUUUGACAGCAGUGAAAACCAACAGUUUAACAGCAGUAAUCUCUUGGCAGGACAGAUUGAUAUGAGCCUUGUCCCAAAACAAAGUAAUCCUUUCAGGGAAGUGUAUUUCAAGUUGAGCUCACGUUCCCAAGAUGCUGAGAUUCUUAUGUAGCUGACACCGGAGCUGAGGCUGAGCCCCAGCCAGGGAUAUCCAACGAUUGCCAGUAACACCACGGAACUGAGUGAAGAUUCAGGGGCUGAGUGUGUUCCUGAGUGCUUCAAACCGGGGGACCUGGAAACCAGAGGACUCCUGGGGAAAGGCUGUCAACUCCAGCCUGCUCUUCCUAAAUGGCCUUGUUAGUAGUGACUUCAGCCCUGGCGGUGAGGCAUGUGGGUCAGAAUAACAUUCCCUUUCUUUUCCCUUCACCUCUUUUUUCUCCACGGUUCCUUUUCAUAACUUCUUUAUUUGCUGCCUAGAGGAGCUUUCUGGACAUUUUGUCUCCAGGGAGCGUGACAUGUCACCUGUUUCUCACCUCAUAUGCCUCUGAUCUUCUACACCAAGGUAGCUAUAAAGGCUUGCUUUCUAGGCUGGGUUUCCCUGCACAGGCCCACUGAACCACUCAAACCUCAGAGGUGGAAGUGCCCAGCGGGCCUCAUGGUCAGCUGGGGAUAACGGAGUCAUUUUCGCAGCCCAACUUCUGAAAUUCCACAAGAGGGCGCCCAAGGUCUCCCAAGUCCGGCCACGCCCGGUGGCCUUGAGGCCGGAAGGUGGCGCUGUUGCUUUAGCCAUCAAGAAAGGCAAGGCUGGGGACGCCGCAUCCCCGGGUGCGGAGGGCGAUGCCUAGGGGCGAUGCUGUGCCUGUGGCGGCCAAACAGUGCCACCCACUCCGGGAAACAAAGCCAAGCGCCGGACGCUAG
RNAcentral lists this long non-coding RNA (6047 nucleotides) under Homo sapiens (human). Its description in RNAcentral is "non-protein coding LINC02551:9". The record is from RNAcentral. Lineage: Eukaryota; Metazoa; Chordata; Mammalia; Primates; Hominidae.